GCUUCCGGAGAAUCUCUUAAAUGAGAUGCCGAAGGUGCAAGGUCUGCUGCCCACGCUGCAGACCGAAACUCUCAGGCAAACGGACGGAUGAA
This 92-nucleotide non-coding RNA is filed under the name bovine gut metagenome. Its description in RNAcentral is "Glycine riboswitch". It matches the Rfam family "Glycine riboswitch aptamer", at positions 8 to 87 of the family's 94-position model. From Rfam's summary of the family: This family represents the bacterial glycine riboswitch. Glycine riboswitches usually consist of two metabolite-binding aptamers domains with similar structures in tandem. The record is from RNAcentral.